UGAAUACGAGAUGCUACGGCGUCGAAGCAGUGUAUGUCAGACUUCCAAGAAAAGCUCGCGAUGUCAUAAAUAAAGAAUGCCUGUACCAUAACCGACACAGGUGGGUAGGUAGAGUAUACUAAGGGGCGCGAGAUAACUCUCUCUAAGGAACUCGGCAAAAUAACUCCGUAACUUCGGGAGAAGGAGUGCCUUCUAUUAGAAGGUUGCAAUAACAAGAUCCAAGCAACUGUUUAUCAAAAACACAGGUCUCCGCUAAGUCGUAAGACGAUGUAUGGGGGCUGACGCCUGCCCAGUGCCAGAAGGUUAAAGAAGUUGGUUAGCUUUGGCGAAGCUGAUGACUGAAGCCCUGGUGAACGGCGGCCGUAACAAUAACGGUCCUAAGGUAGCGAAAUUCCUUGUCGGGUAAGUUCCGACCCGCACGAAAGGCGUAAUGAUUUGGAUACUGUCUCGGAGAGGGACUCGGUGAAAUAGACUUGUCUGUGAAGAUGCGGACUACCUGCACCAGGACAUAAAGACCCUAUGAAGCUUUACUGUAACUUGAAAUUGAAAUUGGACUUUAUUUGCGCAGCAUAGGUGGAAGGCGUUGAGAUUACUCUUGCGGGAGUACUGGAGCCAUCAGUGAGAUACCACUCCUAUAAUGUUAGAUUUCUAACUUUGGAUCAUGAUCUGGUCAAAGAACAGUUUCAGGCGGGCAGUUUGACUGGGGCGGUCGCCUCCCAAAUGGUAACGGAGGCGUACAAAGGUUUCCUCUGAACGGGUAGAAAUCGUAUCUAGAGUGUAAAGGCAUAAGGAAGCUUGACUGUGAGACCUACAAGUCGAGCAGGGACGAAAGUCGGUCUUAGUGAUCUGACGGUGCUGAGUGGAAAGGCCGUCACUCAACGGAUAAAAGUUACUCUAGGAUAACAGGCUGAUCUCCCCCAAGAGUUCACAUCGACGGGGAGGUUUGGCACCUCGAUGUCGGCUCAUCGCAUCCUGGGGCGGUAGUACGUCCCAAGGGUUGGGCUGUUCGCCCAUGAAAGCGGUACGCGAGCUGGGUUCAGAACGUCGUGAGACAGUUCGGUCCAUAUCCGGUGUAGGCGUUAGAAUAUUGAGAGGAGCCUUCUUUAGUACGAGAGGACCGAGAAGGACAUACCUCUGGUGUACCAGUUAUCGUGCCAACGGUAAACGCUGGGUAGCUAUGUAUGGAGAGGAUAACCGCUGAAAGCAUCUAAGUGGGAAGCCCACCUCAAGAUGAGUAUUCUCAC
Molecule: ribosomal RNA, 1244 nt
Filed under: metagenome
Description: bacterial LSU rRNA
Rfam family: Bacterial large subunit ribosomal RNA
Source: RNAcentral